ACACUCCCAGACUGUUUGUACUAAAAUUGGAAUGACACAGAGAAGAUUGGCAUGGUCCCUGCACAAGGAUGACUGACAAACACCUAGAACUGAACUGCUUUCCA
Non-coding RNA from Erinaceus europaeus (western European hedgehog), 104 nucleotides. NCBI's taxonomy places the organism in Eukaryota, Metazoa, Chordata, Mammalia, Eulipotyphla, Erinaceidae. The record is from Rfam.